RNAcentral lists this ribosomal RNA (465 nucleotides) under Vreelandella stevensii. RNAcentral's name for it is "partial 16S ribosomal RNA". It matches the Rfam family "Bacterial small subunit ribosomal RNA", at positions 338 to 795 of the family's 1533-position model. Lineage: Bacteria; Pseudomonadati; Pseudomonadota; Gammaproteobacteria; Oceanospirillales; Halomonadaceae. The record is from RNAcentral.
CCUACGGGGGGCAGCAGUGGGGAAUAUUGGACAAUGGGGGGAACCCUGAUCCAGCCAUGCCGCGUGUGUGAAGAAGGCCCUCGGGUUGUAAAGCACUUUCAGUGAGGAAGAACGCCUGGUGGUUAAUACCCAUCAGGAAAGACAUCACUCACAGAAGAAGCACCGGCUAACUCCGUGCCAGCAGCCGCGGUAAUACGGAGGGUGCGAGCGUUAAUCGGAAUUACUGGGCGUAAAGCGCGCGUAGGUGGCUUGAUGAGCCGGUUGUGAAAGCCCCGGGCUCAACCUGGGAACGGCAUCCGGAACUGUCAAGCUAGAGUGCAGGAGAGGAAGGUAGAAUUCCCGGUGUAGCGGUGAAAUGCGUAGAGAUCGGGAGGAAUACCAGUGGCGAAGGCGGCCUUCUGGACUGACACUGACACUGAGGUGCGAAAGCGUGGGUAGCAAACAGGAUUAGAUACCCCAGUAGUC